UUUCUUUCUUCUAUCCUCUUCUUCUCUGUUCUUCUCCGUCUCUCUGUCGAUCUCAGUCUCUGAGAUUUGAAUGUUUAGUGGUAUGAGAAUUCUUGUAGACCUUAUUAUCCAAGAUGAUUAGAUGAAGAAGGUGAUGUUAUUGGAGCUGAUCUAGUUCUUCAAUUUCUGAGAAUGUUAAUCUUUAUUACCAACGAUCGAUCUAAAUAAUGAAUCAGUGGAUUAUGAAUCUCAAGGUAUGCGAGGCUUGUCAUCAAAAGAGUUUCAGAGACAGAUGAAGAUGUGCGUGCGUCGAUGAAAGCUUCGAGGAGUUGGUUUCGUUAGUUGGUUAGCUUUUGCAAUGUUUAUUUUCUGUUUAUAUUCUAUUUGUAAACCAACUCACUAUUGAAUAUGUAUCAUUUGAGAGGAGUUCUUGUAUUUGUUUCAGAGAGGGUUUAGAUUCGGGUUAAUCUUUGUUUUCUUAAUGUUUAAUUAGAUGUUUUAAAUC
Papaver somniferum (opium poppy) is the source of this 484-nucleotide long non-coding RNA. RefSeq lists it as uncharacterized. Lineage: Eukaryota; Viridiplantae; Streptophyta; Magnoliopsida; Ranunculales; Papaveraceae. The record is from RefSeq and is a predicted model, not a curated record. The transcript is spliced from 3 exons.